Heterocephalus glaber (naked mole-rat) is the source of this 304-nucleotide long non-coding RNA. RefSeq lists it as uncharacterized. The record is from RefSeq and is a predicted model, not a curated record. NCBI's taxonomy places the organism in Eukaryota, Metazoa, Chordata, Mammalia, Rodentia, Bathyergidae.
UAAAGAGAAGGGCUUGGGUGUCAAGAUGACAAGGGGUGGAUGUGACAGCUAAGCAGAACUGUCAACUUGAUUGCCUUGAGCACUGCGUGGGGGCUUAGGAAAGCACCCUCCUGAAUAUCUCUGGAAAUCACUAAUCCACCAAUGACAGCUGCUACAAUUUGCAUGGUGCCCAAGUUUCAGAUUUUACUGGACCUGCCAACUGCUUAUUUAUGCUCAACACUGAGGUAUUUUGCUAAGAUCAUUGCUUCCAGCUGAUGUAAUUACACUGUGUUUAUAUUCAAGAAAGUCAUCUUACCUAAGAGAU